UGGGGAAUAUUGCACAAUGGGCGAAAGCCUGAUGCAGCGACGCCGCGUGAGUGAAGAAGGUCUUCGGAUCGUAAAACUCUGUCCUUGGUGAAGAAAAAAAUGACGGUAGCCAAGGAGGAAGCCCCGGCUAACUACGUGCCAGCAGCCGCGGUAAUACGUAGGGGGCGAGCGUUGUCCGGAUUUACUGGGCGUAAAGGGUGAGUAGGCGGUUGUAUAAGUCAGAUGUAAAAGGCGUAGGCUCAACUUACGUAAGCAUUUGAAACUGUACAACUUGAGUGCAGGAGAGGUAAGUGGAAUUCCUAGUGUAGCGGUGAAAUGCGUAGAUAUUAGGAGGAACACCAGUGGCGAAGGCGACUUACUGGACUGUAACUGACGCUGAGUCACGAAAGCGUGGGUAGCAAACAGG
This 406-nucleotide ribosomal RNA is filed under the name uncultured bacterium. Its description in RNAcentral is "bacterial SSU rRNA". It matches the Rfam family "Bacterial small subunit ribosomal RNA", at positions 355 to 776 of the family's 1533-position model. The record is from RNAcentral. RNAcentral also lists the same sequence under 2 other names.